GCCUGGGUGGCUCAGUCGGUUAAGCAUCUGACUUUGACUCAGGUCGUGAUCUCAUGGUUCAUGGGUUUGAGCCCCGUGUUGGGCC
This is a transfer RNA of Felis catus (domestic cat), 85 nucleotides long. It matches the Rfam family "tRNA". Rfam says of the family: Transfer RNA (tRNA) molecules are approximately 80 nucleotides in length. Their secondary structure includes four short double-helical elements and three loops (D, anti-codon, and T loops). Further hydrogen bonds mediate the characteristic L-shaped molecular structure. tRNAs have two regions of fundamental functional importance: the anti-codon, which is responsible for specific mRNA codon recognition, and the 3' end, to which the tRNAs corresponding amino acid is attached (by aminoacyl-tRNA synthetases). tRNAs cope with the degeneracy of the genetic code in two manners: having more than one tRNA (with a specific anti-codon) for a particular amino acid; and 'wobble' base-pairing, i.e. permitting non-standard base-pairing at the 3rd anti-codon position. NCBI's taxonomy places the organism in Eukaryota, Metazoa, Chordata, Mammalia, Carnivora, Felidae. The record is from Rfam.